This 423-nucleotide ribosomal RNA is filed under the name uncultured bacterium. Its description in RNAcentral is "bacterial SSU rRNA". It matches the Rfam family "Bacterial small subunit ribosomal RNA", at positions 355 to 790 of the family's 1533-position model. The record is from RNAcentral.
UGGGGAAUAUUGCGCAAUGGGCGGAAGCCUGACGCAGCGACGCCGCGUGAGGGAUGACGGCCUUCGGGUUGUAAACCUCUUUCAGCAGGGACCAAGGGUGACUGAGUGUACCUGCAGAAGAAGCACCGGCUAACUACGUGCCAGCAGCCGCGGUAAUACGUAGGGUGCGAGCGUUGUCCGGAUUUAUUGGGCGUAAAGGGCUCGUAGGCGGCCUGUCGCGUAGGGAGUGAAAGCCCACUGCUUAACGGUGGGUCUGCUUCCGGUACGGGCGGGCUAGAGUAUGGCAGGGGAGACUGGAAUUCCUGGUGUAGCGGUGGAAUGCGCAGAUAUCAGGAGGAACACCGGUGGCGAAGGCGGGUCUCUGGGCCAUUACUGACGCUGAGGAGCGAAAGCGUGGGGAGCGAACAGGAUUAGAUACCCCAG